GACGAACGCUGGCGGCGUGCCUAACACAUGCAAGUCGAGCGAAGUAUUUGGAGCUGAAUCCUUCGGGAAGAAGUUUCAAAUAUCUUAGCGGCGGACGGGUGAGUAACGCGUGAGGAACCUGCCUUCCACAAGGGGAUAGCCUCGGGAAACUGGGAUUAAUACCCUAUGACACUUAUUUACUACAUGGUAGAUAAGUUAAAGCGAAUUAGCGGUGGAAGAUGGCCUCGCGUCCCAUUAGCUAGUUGGUGAGGUAACGGCUCACCAAGGCGACGAUGGGUAGCCGGCCUGAGAGGGUGAACGGCCACACUGGAACUGAGACACGGUCCAGACUCCUACGGGAGGCAGCAGUGGGGAAUAUUGCACAAUGGGCGAAAGCCUGAUGCAGCGACGCCGCGUGAGUGAAGAAGGCCUUCGGUCGGUAAACUACUAGUCCUAAGGGACGAGUAAUAGACGGUACCGUUAACGGAGGAAGGACCCGGACCGUAACCUAACGUACGCACGCAGCCGCGUAAACGGUAACUACUAUA
RNAcentral lists this ribosomal RNA (527 nucleotides) under uncultured bacterium. RNAcentral describes it as "bacterial SSU rRNA". It matches the Rfam family "Bacterial small subunit ribosomal RNA", at positions 28 to 537 of the family's 1533-position model. The record is from RNAcentral.